Molecule: ribosomal RNA, 314 nt
Filed under: uncultured bacterium
Lineage: Bacteria
Description: bacterial SSU rRNA
Rfam family: Bacterial small subunit ribosomal RNA
Source: RNAcentral
GAUGAACGCUAGCUACAGGCUUAACACAUGCAAGUCGAGGGGCAGCAUGAUUGAAGCUUGCUUCAAUUGAUGGCGACCGGCGCACGGGUGAGUAACACGUAUCCAACCUUCCGUACACUCAGGGAUAGCCUUUCGAAAGAAAGAUUAAUACCUGAUGGUAUCUUAAGCACGCAUGUAAUUAAGAUUAAAGAUUUAUCGGUGUACGAUGGGGAUGCGUUCCAUUAGGUAGUAGGCGGGUAACGGCCCACCUAGCCUACGAUGGAUAGGGGUUCUGAGAGGAAGGUCCCCCACAUUGGAACUGAGACACGGUCCAA